Molecule: ribosomal RNA, 523 nt
Filed under: uncultured bacterium
Lineage: Bacteria
Description: partial 16S ribosomal RNA
Rfam family: Bacterial small subunit ribosomal RNA
Source: RNAcentral
GACGAACGCUGGCGGCGUGCCUAAUACAUGCAAGUCGAACGCUUUUUCUUUCACCGGAGCUUGCUCCACCGAAAGAAAAAGAGUGGCGAACGGGUGAGUAACACGUGGGUAACCUGCCCAUCAGAAGGGGAUAACACUUGGAAACAGGUGCUAAUACCGUAUAACACUAUUUUCCGCAUGGAAGAAAGUUGAAAGGCGCUUUUGCGUCACUGAUGGAGCGACCCGCGGUGCAUUAGCUAGUUGGUGAGGUAACGGCUCACCAAGGCAACGAUGCAUAGCCGACCUGAGAGGGUGAUCGGCCACACUGGGACUGAGACACGGCCCAGACUCCUACGGGAGGCAGCAGUAGGGAAUCUUCGGCAAUGGACGAAAGUCUGACCGAGCAACGCCGCGUGAGUGAAGAAGGUUUUCGGAUCGUAAAACUCUGUUGUUAGAGAAGAACAAGGAUGAGAGUAGAACGUUCAUCCCUUGACGGUAUCUAACCAGAAAGCCACGGCUAACUACGUGCCAGCAGCCGCCGUAA